AGGCAACUCUGAACCAGCCAUGCCGCGUGCAGGAUGACGGUCCUAUGGAUUGUAAACUGCUUUUGUACUGGAAGAAACCUCGCUACGUGUAGCGAUUUGACGGUACUGUAAGAAUAAGGAUCGGCUAACUCCGUGCCAGCAGCCGCGGUAAUACGGAGGAUCCGAGCGUUAUCCGGAAUUAUUGGGUUUAAAGGGUUCGUAGGCGGUUAGAUAAGUCAGUGGUGAAAUUUCUUAGCUUAACUAAGACCCGGCCAUUGAUACUGUUUGACUUGAAUAGUAUGGAAGUAACUAGAAUAUGUAGUGUAGCGGUGAAAUGCUUAGAUAUUACAUGGAAUACCAAUUGCGAAGGCAGGUUACUACGUACUUAUUGACGCUGAUGAACGAAAGCGUGGGGAGCGAACAGGAUUAGAUACCCUGGUAGUCCACGCCGUAAACGAUGGAUACUAGCUGUUCGGUUUUCGGACUGAGUGGCUAAGCGAAAGUGAUAAGUAUCCCACCUGGGGAGUACGUUCGCAAGAAUGAAACUCAAAGGAAUUGACGG
RNAcentral lists this ribosomal RNA (541 nucleotides) under uncultured Myroides sp. RNAcentral's name for it is "bacterial SSU rRNA". It matches the Rfam family "Bacterial small subunit ribosomal RNA", at positions 375 to 916 of the family's 1533-position model. The record is from RNAcentral. Lineage: Bacteria; Pseudomonadati; Bacteroidota; Flavobacteriia; Flavobacteriales; Flavobacteriaceae.